RNAcentral lists this ribosomal RNA (449 nucleotides) under uncultured bacterium. RNAcentral's name for it is "bacterial SSU rRNA". It matches the Rfam family "Bacterial small subunit ribosomal RNA", at positions 354 to 796 of the family's 1533-position model. The record is from RNAcentral.
GUGGGGAGUUUUGCACAAUGGGCGCAAGCCUGAUGCAGCAACGCCGCGUGUGUGAUGAAGGUCUUCGGAUUGUAAAGCACUUUCGACCGGGACGAAACAACCCUGGCUAACAUCCAGGGUCUUGACGGUACCGGGAGAAGAAGCACCGGCUAACUCUGUGCCAGCAGCCGCGGUAAUACAGAGGGUGCAAGCGUUGUUCGGAAUUAUUGGGCGUAAAGCGCGUGUAGGCGGUCUUGCAAGUCGGGUGUGAAAUCCCUCGGCUUAACUGAGGAAGUGCGCCCGAAACUGCAGGACUUGAGUACCGGAGAGGGUGGCGGAAUUCCCCAAGUAGAGGUGAAAUUCGUAGAUAUGGGGAGGAACACCGGUGGCGAAGGCGGCCACCUGGACGGAUACUGACGCUGAGACGCGAAAGCGUGGGGAGCAAACAGGAUUAGAUACCCUAGUAGUCC